This 392-nucleotide unclassified non-coding RNA is filed under the name soil metagenome. RNAcentral describes it as "partial contains 5.8S ribosomal RNA, internal transcribed spacer 2, and large subunit ribosomal RNA". The stretch from base 1 to 122 matches the Rfam family "5.8S ribosomal RNA", at positions 35 to 154 of the family's 154-position model. The record is from RNAcentral.
GAUGAAGAACGUAGCGAAAUGCGAUACUUGGUGUGAAUUGCAGAAUCCCGUGAACCAUCGAGUCUUUGAACGCAAGUUGCGCCUGAAGCCAUUAGGCCGAGGGCACGCCUGCCUGGGCGUCACACGUCGUUGCCCCCCCCAUCUACUCCUUCGGGAUUGCGGGGGGCGGAUGAUGGCCUCCCGUGUGCCUCGCCGCGCGGUUGGCAUAAAUGCCAAGUCCUCGGCGACGCACGCCACGACAAUCGGUGGUUGCGAAACCUCGGUUGCCCGUCGUGUGCGGUCGUCGCGCAUCGAGGGCUCGAAAAAAUUGCCGGGUUCCGGCUCGGCUUUCAACGCGACCCCAGGUCAGGCGGGGUUACCCGCUGAAUUUAAGCAUAUCAAUAAGCGGAGGA